Molecule: ribosomal RNA, 247 nt
Filed under: uncultured bacterium
Lineage: Bacteria
Description: partial 16S ribosomal RNA
Rfam family: Bacterial small subunit ribosomal RNA
Source: RNAcentral
UGGGGAAUAUUGGACAAUGGGGGCAACCCUGAUCCAGCAAUGCCGCGUGUGUGAAGAAGGUCUUCGGAUUGUAAAGCACUUUCGACGGGGACGAUGAUGACGGUACCCGUAGAAGAAGCCCCGGCUAACUUCGUGCCAGCAGCCGCGGUAAUACGAAGGGGGCUAGCGUUGCUCGGAAUGACUGGGCGUAAAGGGCGUGUAGGCGGUUUACACAGUCAGAUGUGAAAUCCCCGGCUUAACCUGGGAG